This 71-nucleotide transfer RNA is filed under the name Sphaerotermes sphaerothorax. Its description in RNAcentral is "tRNA-Ser". Lineage: Eukaryota; Metazoa; Arthropoda; Insecta; Blattodea; Termitidae. The record is from RNAcentral.
AGUUAAGAAGCCACAGACAAGCCUAAUGUCUUGAAAACAUUAUGAAAGAAGUUUAAAUCUUCUAUUAACUU